Molecule: transfer RNA, 52 nt
Filed under: Cheiracanthium triviale
Lineage: Eukaryota; Metazoa; Arthropoda; Arachnida; Araneae; Cheiracanthiidae
Description: tRNA-Cys
Source: RNAcentral
CUAUUAGUUUAAUAAACAUUAAAUUGCAAAUUUAAUAAAAAUCAUAUGAUGG